RNAcentral lists this unclassified non-coding RNA (367 nucleotides) under fungal sp. RNAcentral describes it as "partial internal transcribed spacer region". The stretch from base 1 to 46 matches the Rfam family "Eukaryotic small subunit ribosomal RNA", at positions 1786 to 1831 of the family's 1831-position model. Lineage: Eukaryota; Fungi. The record is from RNAcentral.
AAGUCGUAACAAGGUUUCCGUAGGUGAACCUGCGGAAGGAUCAUUAACACGUAUCCAACGUUAAACAACCCUGUGAACUUUCAACCGGAACAGCAAUCCCGGUAAAUCAAUUGGAGAAAAGGUUUUGAUUCGGGACCUCUGUCCAUCAGGCUACAAUCGAGCUAGGAGCAGUGGCAUGGUUUCCCUAAGCAGUGCAGAAGGAUCCACUGAGUAAGGAUAACGCCUCACGGUUGCCAGAGGUCGAUCACCGGCCGGCAGACAUGUCACAGGGCUAUAUGCCCCCUCAUUCACACCUUGCCCUAUCUGGCCCCACGGAAACGUUGGGGCACAAACCGAACAACUGUUAACAAUGGAUAUCUUGGUUCUC